GCAUUCCUGCGCGUUCAAGGUGAGGACUUUAGAUGCUGGACCACUGCACUGGGUCUGGUUGUCAAAUUUUAACACAGUUGAAUAUUUUUAUAUUUUAAAAUAUUAAAUUGAUCAUUGUUCCUGUGUUUUCUCUCUCUGCUCCCCCAUUUGAAUCCAUGCUGUGUGAAGAAUGAUUCCACAUCUUGGCUAAAGCAUUUUUUUUACGUGUUCCAGAAAUACUAUACCUUGGAAGAAAUGACCUUAAAAAGCUUCUUUUGGAAAGGUCUGAAAGAUGUGGAAAUUAACAAGACAAAAGGAAGAAGGAGAUCGGGUGGAGAUAUCAGCUCAGAUGAGAGGGCUGAGGUAGAGGACAGGUAUUUGAUUUUCAGAAGAGUACGUGUUGACGUGUCUAUAUGCAGAGAGGUUAAUAGCAAUUAUAAAUAUCAUAGGAGGGAUAGGGUGGGAACCUAAGUUUGCAGAACAUUUUCACUAUUGUAGAAAGUUUGUAUUAAGCACAACUGAAAGCCAAUAAAAGGAUACUUGCAGAUGUAGAAUCAAACAUUUUCUUUUAAUCAUAUAUAGUCCCCAAACCAAAAGGCAGGCAACUUAGUGUAGAAUGGAUGGGUGUACUGAAUUGUGAACUAAAGUACUAUGUAGAUCCAUGCUCUGUGGGAGAUUUGUUCUGUCUUUUCUUAGUUUUCUCCUAAGGAAUCCAUUAUUUCUGGCAUUAGGCCUACAUAGUAAGUAUUUUCAAAUAUAUUUAUUUGUAGUUUAUAGCUAAAUAAAU
Molecule: long non-coding RNA, 766 nt
Organism: Ochotona curzoniae (black-lipped pika)
Lineage: Eukaryota; Metazoa; Chordata; Mammalia; Lagomorpha; Ochotonidae
Exons: 2
Source: RefSeq, a predicted model, not a curated record